ACGGAGGCCGCCGAAAAUCCAGAACAGAGUAGGCA
This 35-nucleotide non-coding RNA is filed under the name unclassified sequences. The record is from Rfam.